RNAcentral lists this non-coding RNA (179 nucleotides) under Pelobacter propionicus DSM 2379. Its description in RNAcentral is "6S / SsrS RNA". It matches the Rfam family "6S / SsrS RNA". From Rfam's summary of the family: E. coli 6S RNA was the first non coding RNA to be sequenced, but its function was unknown until recently. It consists of 184 nucleotides that fold into an extended hairpin structure with a large single-stranded internal bulge. Lineage: Bacteria; Pseudomonadati; Thermodesulfobacteriota; Desulfuromonadia; Desulfuromonadales; Desulfuromonadaceae. The record is from Rfam by way of RNAcentral.
UUCUCCCUGUCCUGUUCGACGGCUGUAGUGCCCGGGCGGAAUAAACAAUGAACGGGAGACCAUUCUUGUCGUGGUGUGCUGCCCCAUUGCGUGGGAUUUGCCUGAAGCGGCAUAUGGUCGCCCACCUGUUAAGGAACUCGCCGGAGGUCCUUUUAGGUUGACGGCAGGACGGGGAGAGU